This 468-nucleotide ribosomal RNA is filed under the name uncultured bacterium. RNAcentral describes it as "partial 16S ribosomal RNA". It matches the Rfam family "Bacterial small subunit ribosomal RNA", at positions 28 to 507 of the family's 1533-position model. The record is from RNAcentral.
GACGAACGCUGGCGGCGUGCUUAACACAUGCAAGUCGAACGGUGAAGCUCCAGCUUGCUGGAGUGGAUCAGUGGCGAACGGGUGAGUAACACGUGAGCAACCUGCCCCUGACUCUGGAAUAAGCGCUGGAAACGGCGUCUAAUACUGGAUACGAGAAGGGUCCGCAUGGGCACUUUCUGGAAAGUUUUUCGGUUGGGGAUGGGCUCGCGGCCUAUCAGCUUGUUGGUGAGGUAAUGGCUCACCAAGGCGACGACGGGUAGCCGGCCUGAGAGGGCGACCGGCCACACUGGGACUGAGACACGGCCCAGACUCCUACGGGAGGCAGCAGUGGGGAAUAUUGCACAAUGGGCGAAAGCCUGAUGCAGCGACGCCGCGUGAGGGAUGACGGCCUUCGGGUUGUAAACCUCUUUCAGCAGGGAAGAAGCGAGAGUGACGGUACCUGCAGAAGAAGCACCGGCUAACUACGUG